AAGGACUGGGAAAGAUCACUCACCAAAUACUGUCACGGGCAAAACAUACUGGAAUUAGAGAUAUUAAUUGAAUUUAUUACUAACAAAAUCAGAGCAGGAUAAUGAGAA
Molecule: long non-coding RNA, 108 nt
Organism: Corvus hawaiiensis (hawaiian crow)
Lineage: Eukaryota; Metazoa; Chordata; Aves; Passeriformes; Corvidae
Exons: 3
Source: RefSeq, a predicted model, not a curated record